AACACCGAUAAGUUGAACGCAUAUUGCGCAUCGUGCGACACAGCUCGAUGUACACAUUUUUGAGUGCCCAUAU
RNAcentral lists this ribosomal RNA (73 nucleotides) under Anopheles messeae. RNAcentral's name for it is "partial 5.8S ribosomal RNA". Lineage: Eukaryota; Metazoa; Arthropoda; Insecta; Diptera; Culicidae. The record is from RNAcentral.